Molecule: ribosomal RNA, 739 nt
Filed under: uncultured Inocybe
Lineage: Eukaryota; Fungi; Basidiomycota; Agaricomycetes; Agaricales; Cortinariaceae
Description: eukaryotic LSU rRNA
Rfam family: 5.8S ribosomal RNA (bases 315-468)
Source: RNAcentral
CCGUAGGUGAACCUGCGGAAGGAUCAUUAUCGAAUAUAAACUUGGGUAGACUGUUGCUGGCUUCUCUUCGAGAGGGGCAUGUGCACGUUUAUCCUCUUUAUUUUUCCACCUGUGCACCUUUUGUAGGCUUGGAUUAUCAGUGGUUCUAAUGUGUCUUUUCAAAAGGCAUAAGAAUUGUUUUGGGACUGCUGUGUUUAAACGCAUGUUUAUCGGCUUUCCCUUUUAUUUUCCAAGUCUAUGUUUGCUAUAUACACUCCAGAAAUGUAAUAGAAUGCUGUACUUUAGGUCAUUCGUACCUAUAAUAAAAUCAGUACAACUUUCAGCAACGGAUCUCUUGGCUCUCGCAUCGAUGAAGAACGCAGCGAAAUGCGAUAAGUAAUGUGAAUUGCAGAAUUCAGUGAAUCAUCGAAUCUUUGAACGCACCUUGCGCUCCUUGGUAUUCCAAGGAGCAUGCCUGUUUGAGUAUCAUUAAAUUAUCAACUGUACCAAUUUGGUUGCAGAUUGGAUGUGGGAGAUUUUGCAGGCUUUUGAUUUCUCUUUGAGAAAAAAGGGUCAGCUCUCCUGAAAUAUAUUAGCAGUGCCUUUGUUGGUUCAUUAGGUGUGAUAAUUUAUYUACAUCUUCACAUGGUACCUUCAUUUGUAAAAGGUCAUAUUGCUUCUAAUUGUCUUUGGACAAAAAAAACAUAUAAUGUAUGGAAAACUUGAUCUCAAAUCAGGCAGGACUACCCGCUGAACUUAA